GACCCCAUUGUCUAGCCAGGUCAGGACAAGAGCUUUUCAAGCUCUGAGCGCGGGUUCGAAUCCCGCUGGGGUCA
Molecule: transfer RNA, 74 nt
Filed under: Candidatus Omnitrophica bacterium CG12_big_fil_rev_8_21_14_0_65_50_5
Lineage: Bacteria; Pseudomonadati; Candidatus Omnitrophota
Description: tRNA-Glu
Rfam family: tRNA
About the family: Transfer RNA (tRNA) molecules are approximately 80 nucleotides in length. Their secondary structure includes four short double-helical elements and three loops (D, anti-codon, and T loops).
Source: RNAcentral